This 4564-nucleotide long non-coding RNA is filed under the name Mytilus galloprovincialis (Mediterranean mussel). The record is from RNAcentral. Lineage: Eukaryota; Metazoa; Mollusca; Bivalvia; Mytilida; Mytilidae.
UGUCCGGUAUAACGGUAAAUUUAUUUGUAAUUUUUUGUGUGGAUUAAUUACUUUCACCACGUGCUUGCCAAAUUUAAAUGAAUUAGCCACGGAAGGUAGGUUUACAUAAGAAUCUUGUUCUCAUGAUGUAUUAAGCAUAAUUUGCAUAUCUUAUAUAUAAUCUAAAGUUACAGUAUAUAAAUAUGUGGAAAAAGUAUAUUUGUACUUUCACUUUCAAAACUCAUUGAAAAAAAACCAUCUAUCAAACAAUUUAAGUACAAGGAGUUCUGUAAAAUACACAUAAUAUUGCAAAAUUGACAAUAAUGCUGUCAAAUAUAAGAAUAUAUCUUUUCUAGUAUUCCUUUACCUUCAAUAUUAAUAUAUUUUUUUGUAAUAAUAAUCCUAUUUUAAAUUCUGACCUAAAAACAUUAUAUAUGUUGAUAUUUUGUGUUCUAUAUUCUGACAAAUAAUGUAUUUUGUGAAUAGUGAAUACAAUCACUGUAAGUAAAAAGUUUAUUUCAUAAUAAUGUUCAUCAUAAAUUUUAUAUCCCCAGAUUAAAUUUUUUUCAGUGAGAAGGUGUCUACCAAUUUUAACUAAUUCAAGUAUCUUAUAUAUUUCCCCCAAAAACUCAUCUAAAAAGUGGCAUGUUACAAAAAAAUGUUUAUAAUCUUCUGUAACGUUACAAAAAUUACAAGUAGAGUUAUGGCAUAUUUUCCAUUGUUUUAAUAGGACUUUGUUUGGAAGAAUAAAGUGUAAUAAUUUCCAUUUGCACAUUUUCAGUUUAUUAUCUUUUAAGUAAGUGUGAAUAAAUUUUUGCACAUAUUGAGCUUCAAUUUGUAUGUUUUCACAUUUCAAAAUUCUAUUCCACUUAUGAUAUCCUAUUGGAAAUUCUUUAUCAUAUUCUAUCAAAAUUGAAUAAAUUUUCUUUGAAUCUAAUUUUUCUAGUUUAUGUUGGCAAUUAUUUUUUUCACUUAUAUAUAGUGAAUUAUUUAUUGAAACACUAGUUUUUAUUGAACAUUCUUCAUUUAAUAUUUUUAACCAUUCUUUUGGAAUUGCUUUUCUUAAUCUUGAGAAUUCAGCUAUCCAGUUUGAUUUAUUUUUUAACUUUAAACUUAUAAUUUUUUCUGAAAAGACUCCAUUUUCAUCAAUGAUAUCAUUUAUAUGGAUGAUAUUACUGUCUAUCCAAUUUUGAAAAAGAAGUGUUUUCUUUUGAAAUUUAAUUAAUUGAUUUCCCCAAAUAACUUCUUGGCGGAUAAGUCUGUAAUUAUUUGGAUUUUUAGUUUUAUUAUUUUUAUUUUUUAACCAUACUUUAAUCAUAUCAAGAUAAAAUUCUGGUAGCUCUUUAGUGCUGGUAUAGAAUAUAUAUUAUUAGUAUUCAUCCUUAAGAUAAGUAGAUUGCUACCAAAUUUAUUUAGAUAAAAUUUUGGUAUAACCAUCCAAUUAAGAAAUUUAUCAGCAGUUAAUCUUUUUAUCCAACCUAUCUUUAUAGAUUCUAUAUAUUUAUCUAUAUUUACCAUUUUUAAUCCACCAUCUAGUUGGUUAUAGCCUAAUACGGUGCGUUUAACUUUUUCUGUCUUAUUGUUCCAUAAAAAUUCAUAUAUGAUUUUUUUAAAUUUGUCCAAGUAUUCUUUGCUUAAGGUUGACACUGUAGCCAAAUAAGUGAUUAUAGGAAUAAUUAAAGAUUUAAUAACUGCUAUUCUUCCUAUCAUGGUUAAGUUUCUUUUUUUCCAGUUUGAUAUAAUUGUUACAGACUUUUCUAGCUGUUUAUCAUAAUUUAGUUUUUGACACUCUUUUUUAUUAUGCCCAAAAUAUAUACCGAGACUUUUAAUUGGUUUUUCUGUAAAGUUAAUAUUUUCAUAUUUUCUUUACAAUGUUUUUGUUUCCCUAGCCAAAUACCCUCAGUUUUAGAUCUGUUAAGUUUUAAUCCUGAAAGUGAUCCAAAUUUUUCAAUCAUGUUAAGAGCUUUUGAAAUAUCUUGUUUUGAUUUGAGAAAAAGAGUGGUGUCAUCUGCUAGUUGACUAAUUUUAAAAGUGUGGGUUUUUCCAUCUAUCUUGAUUUCAAAUCCUUUUAGGUUAUGGUCUUGCCUAAUUUUACAAGCAAUAAUCUCAACAGCAAUAACAAAAAUUAUCGCACUGCACGGGCAGCCUUGACGUAUACCACGAUAUAUACUCAUGGGUUUAGAGAUCCAUCCAUUGUUUAAAACUUAACUUUUUAUGUCAGUGUAUAAAAGUUUUAUCCAUCUCAUCAUAGAAUUUUUAAAUCCAAAUUUUUGUAAAGCAAAGAACAGAAAGUCCCAUUCUAAUGAAUCGAAUGCUUUCGAAAAAUCUAAAAAUAAUAAGGCACCCUCUAUAUUAAAUUUGUCUGCAUAAUCUAUGACAUCUUCAAUUUGUCUAAUAUUAUAUUCUAUGUAUCUGUUUUUAACAUACCCAUUUUGGUCUCCAUGAAUAAUUUGUGGUAAUAUUUUAAUUAUCCUUUGAGCAAGUGAAUAACAACUAAUUUUGUGUCAACAUUCAAUAAUGUUAUGGUCUAUAAUUGUCUAAACUGAGAGGAUCAUUUUUUAUGUAAAAGGAAAUAACUCCUAAUUUUUGUGAAUUGUUAACUCCCUUUAUCAAAUGAAAGAUUAAAAGUUUUGACUGCAAACUCUUUUAAAUGUUCCCAAAAAGUUCUAUAAAAUUCGACACUUAACCCAUAAAUUCCGGGGGCUUUAUUAAGUUUCAUUUUAAAUAAAGAAUCUGUGCAUUCUUGAGUGCUUAAUAACCUUCCAUACUAUCGUUUCUUUAUCUGUUAGGACAUGAUCACAUUCUGUAUUCAUAACAUAAUCUUUAAUAGAAUUUUAUCGGAUUUGAACUUUUAUAAAUUUCUUCAUAAAACUCUUUUUCAAUAUUAAGUAUUUCUGUAGGAUGUAUAUGUAUCACCCCUUCUUUGUCUCUGAGCGCUGUAAUGGUUUUUCUUGUUUGCCUAGCUUUUUCUAGUCCCAAGAAGAAUUUAGUGUUUUUUCGCCUUCUUCUACCCAUUUAAUUCUGGAUCUUAUUUGUGCUCCUUUUGUUUUUGAAUCAUAUAAUUUACCAAGUUUUUCUUCUAUAAUAUUAAUUUCCUCUUUAAGAGAGUUAAUAUCAUCCAUUUUACAUUUUUUGUUUAUACCCUCAUUUAAUUUCUUCAAUUUGUUUUUCUAAAAUAUGUAUAUCUUUACAUUAUUUUUGUGCUUUUCUUUUACAGAAUGCAAUGGUAUGGUCUCUUACCUCAGUUUUAAAAGAUCCCACUUGACCCCAAUAUCAUUGGUGAGUAAAAUUUUUUUUCAUAUUGUUUGAUCAGAAUUUUGAUAAGGUUUUGAUAUUCUUCAUUUUCUAAAUACUAUUAUUAAUUUUAAAGUAUCCUUUACAUUUUUUGUCUGAUCGACCUUUUAUUUUUUAUAGAAAUUGCCUGAUGGUCUGUAUGAGUUAUAAUAGCUGGCCUAAUAUCAGUAGAUUCUAUUUUAGUUCCUUAUUUCAGGACAGGUUAAGAAAAAAUCUAUUCUAGAUGCUUCAUUUAAAUUAUUUUUACGUCGCCAAGUGAAUUGUAUUUCCUUGCCAUGAAUCUCUCUCCAAAUAUCACUUAGUUUUUGAGUUUUAAUUAAAGAUUUAAGGCUAAAAACUGGUUUUGUUUGUUUUAAUUUUGUGUUGACACUUUAUUUUUUUAUCUAUUUUUGUUAAAGUAUCAUUCAUAUCUCCUCCAAUUAUAACCAUUCCUAAACUAUUUUUUGUAAUUAUUUCUUUAACUUUUUUGAAAAAAAUAUUUCUGUUUUUAGGUAUAUUUGGUGCAUAGACAUUUACUAAAGUGUAAAUACUGUCUUCGAUUUCAACAUUUAUGAAGAGUAGCCUGCCCUCUUUGCUUUUGAAUAUAUUAUAAAUUUGCAUUCUAAAUCAUUAUUAAUAAAAAUUGAAACUCCUCUGGACUGUGAGGUUCCAAAGCUAUGAUAUUGUUGACCUUUAAUUUCAGAAUUUAAGUCUUUCUCUAAAUCUUCAGUGAAAUGACUUUCCUGAACAAACAAAAUAUUACAUUUUUGAUAUUUCAUCCACAAAUAUAAUCUAUGUCUUGUUAUCUUUACUCUGAGACCUUGACAAUUUAAAGAACAUAUGUGAAUUGUUUUUGUCAUAAGUCUUUUGUUUUUAGAAUUUUAUUUACUUGAAUGUUUAUUGAGCCUAAACAAUUACAUUCUUGCAUUCUCAUAGUUAUUAUUUUUUUUAAAGUAUACACAUAUUUCAAAAAUAUACAGUAUUCAUUUUUCAUUAAUACACAAGUUAAAAAUAAUAAUACAAGCCAGAGAUUUACAAAUGAAUUUGUUACAGAACAUUUGAUCAAAAUCAAAUACACACCAUCAGAGAAAUAUAGGUCUCUAACAUUAUUAAUACAAAUUGUAUGCUGUGCAAAAAAUCAUGUCAAUGUCAAUUUCAAUAUAAUAAACAAUUGAUUUCUUUCAUUUUGUAACACCUGUUGUUUUCUAUUUUUAGACACCAGACAACGUAGGUGUAUGCAUGGUUGGAGAUACAAGAGUGAUUGAAUCUUAUCGUGUGAAUUUUGGAAUAGUGAUUUCGUAAAACUUAGUGU